GAGUUUGAUCAUGGUUCAGGAUGAACGCUGGCGGCAUGCCUAACACAUGCAAGUCGAACGAAGUUACCGGAGCAGCGGACUUAGGUUCAACGCACCGACUAACUUAGUGGCGGAUGGGUGAGUAACACGUGAGCAACCAACCUUUUACUCGGGAAUAACAUGGGGAAACCCAUGCUAAUACCUGAUAUUAUCAAGAAAUGGCAUCAUAAUUUGAUGAAAGAUUUAUCGGUAAAAGACGGGCUCGCGUCCGAUUAGCUAGUUGGUAAGGUAAUGGCUUACCAAGGCCACGAUCGGUAGCCGGACUGAGAGGUCGACCGGCCACAUUGGGACUGAGAACGGCCCAGACUCCUACGGGAGGCAGCAGUGGGGAAUAUUGGGCAAUGGACGCAAGUCUGACCCAGCGAUGCCGCGUGAAGGAUGGAAGGCCCUCGGGUUGUAAACUUCUUUAGACAGGGAAGAAAGAAAUGACAUUACCUGUAGAAUAAGCCACGGCUAACUACGUGCCAGCAGCCGCGGUAAUACGUAGGUGGCGAGCGUUAUCCGGAAUUACUGGGUGUAAAGGGCGCGUAGGCGGGUAUGCAAGUUGGAUGUGAAAUUCCGGGGCUUAACUCCGGAUUGUCAUCUAAAACUGUGUAUCUUGAGUGUCAGAGGGGAAAGUGGAAUUCCUAGUGGAGUGGUAAAAUGCGUAGAUAUUAGGAGGAACAUCGGUGGCGAAGGCGACUUUCUGGCUGACAACUGACGCUGAGGCGCGAAAGCGUGGGUAGCGAA
This 768-nucleotide ribosomal RNA is filed under the name uncultured bacterium. RNAcentral describes it as "bacterial SSU rRNA". It matches the Rfam family "Bacterial small subunit ribosomal RNA", at positions 9 to 772 of the family's 1533-position model. The record is from RNAcentral.